UCAGGUGUGUAAGUGUAGUGAUACAUUGAGCUAACUGAUACUAAUGAACCGAGAGUCUUAACCUUACAAC
This 70-nucleotide ribosomal RNA is filed under the name Gilliamella sp. W8126. Its description in RNAcentral is "partial 23S ribosomal RNA". RNAcentral also lists the same sequence under 6 other names. The record is from RNAcentral. Lineage: Bacteria; Pseudomonadati; Pseudomonadota; Gammaproteobacteria; Orbales; Orbaceae.